AUUGAACGCUGGCGGCAUGCCUUACACAUGCAAGUCGAACGGCAGCACGGGGGCGACCCUGGUGGCGAGUGGCGAACGGGUGAGUAGAAUAUCGGAACGUGCCCUGAAGUGGGGGAUAACGUAGCGAAAGUUACGCUAAUACCGCAUACGAUCUGUGGAUGAAAGCGGGGGAUCUUCGGACCUCGUGCUUUAGGAGUGGCCGAUAACUGAUUAGCUAGUUGGUGAGGUAAAGGCUCACCAAGGCGACGAUCAGUAGCUGGUCUGAGAGGACGACCAGCCACACUGGGACUGAGACACGGCCCAGACUCCUACGGGAGGCAGCAGUGGGGAAUUUUGGACAAUGGGGGCAACCCUGAUCCAGCAAUGCCGCGUGAGUGAAGAAGGCCUUCGGGUUGUAAAGCUCUUUUGUCGGGGAAGAAACGGUGGUGGUUAAUACCUGCUACUAAUGACGGUACCCGAAGAAUAAGCACCGGCUAACUACGUGCCAGCAGCCGCCGUAA
Molecule: ribosomal RNA, 500 nt
Filed under: uncultured bacterium
Lineage: Bacteria
Description: partial 16S ribosomal RNA
Rfam family: Bacterial small subunit ribosomal RNA
Source: RNAcentral